UUAAGUUAUUAAGGGCGCACGGUGGAUGCCUUGGCACUAGAAGCCGAUGAAGGACGUUACUAACGACGAUAUGCUUUGGGGAGCUGUAAGUAAGCUUUGAUCCAGAGAUUUCCGAAUGGGGAAACCCAGCAUGAGUUAUGUCAUGUUAUCGAUAUGUGAAUACAUAGCAUAUCAGAAGGCACACCCGGAGAACUGAAACAUCUUAGUACCCGGAGGAAGAGAAAGAAAAUUCGAUUCCCUUAGUAGCGGCGAGCGAAACGGGAAGAGCCCAAACCAACAAGCUUGCUUGUUGGGGUUGUAGGACACUCUAUACGGAGUUACAAAGGACGACAUUAGAUGAAUCAUCUGGAAAGAUGAAUCAAAGAAGGUAAUAAUCCUGUAGUCGAAAAUGUUGUCUCUCUUGAGUGGAUCCUGAGUACGACGGAGCACGUGAAAUUCCGUCGGAAUCUGGGAGGACCAUCUCCUAAGGCUAAAUACUCUCUAGUGACCGAUAGUGAACCAGUACCGUGAGGGAAAGGUGAAAAGCACCCCGGAAGGGGAGUGAAAUAGAACCUGAAACCGUGUGCUUACAAGUAGUCAGAGCCCGUUAAUGGGUGAUGGCGUGCCUUUUGUAGAAUGAACCGGCGAGUUACGAUUUGAUGCAAGGUUAAGCAGUAAAUGUGGAGCCGUAGCGAAAGCGAGUCUCAAUAGGGCGUUUAGUAUUUGGUCGUAGACCCGAAACCAGGUGAUCUACCCUUGGUCAGGUUGAAGUUCAGGUAACACUGAAUGGAGGACCGAACCGACUUACGUUGAAAAGUGAGCGGAUGAACUGAGGGUAGCGGAGAAAUUCCAAUCGAACCUGGAGAUAGCUGGUUCUCUCCGAAAUAGCUUUAGGGCUAGCCUCAAGUGAUGAUUAUUGGAGGUAGAGCACUGUUUGGACGAGGGGCCCCUCUCGGGUUACCGAAUUCAGACAAACUCCGAAUGCCAAUUAAUUUAACUUGGGAGUCAGAACAUGGGUGAUAAGGUCCGUGUUCGAAAGGGAAACAGCCCAGACCACCAGCUAAGGUCCCAAAAUAUAUGUUAAGUGGAAAAGGAUGUGGCGUUGCCCAGACAACUAGGAUGUUGGCUUAGAAGCAGCCAUCAUUUAAAGAGUGCGUAAUAGCUCACUAGUCGAGUGACACUGCGCCGAAAAUGUACCGGGGCUAAACAUAUUACCGAAGCUGUGGAUUGUCCUUUGGACAAUGGUAGGAGAGCGUUCUAAGGGCGUUGAAGCAUGAUCGUAAGGACAUGUGGAGCGCUUAGAAGUGAGUAUGCCGGUGUGAGUAGCGAAAGACGGGUGAGAAUCCCGUCCACCGAUUGACUAAGGUUUCCAGAGGAAGGCUCGUCCGCUCUGGGUUAGUCGGGUCCUAAGCUGAGGCCGACAGGCGUAGGCGAUGGAUAACAGGUUGAUAUUCCUGUACCACCUAUAAUCGUUUUAAUCGAUGGGGGGACGCAGUAGGAUAGGCGAAGCGUGCGAUUGGAUUGCACGUCUAAGCAGUAAGGCUGAGUAUUAGGCAAAUCCGGUACUCGUUAAGGCUGAGCUGUGAUGGGGAGAAGACAUUGUGUCUUCGAGUCGUUGAUUUCACACUGCCGAGAAAAGCCUCUAGAUAGAAAAUAGGUGCCCGUACCGCAAACCGACACAGGUAGUCAAGAUGAGAAUUCUAAGGUGAGCGAGCGAACUCUCGUUAAGGAACUCGGCAAAAUGACCCCGUAACUUCGGGAGAAGGGGUGCUCUUUAGGGUUAACGCCCAGAAGAGCCGCAGUGAAUAGGCCCAAGCGACUGUUUAUCAAAAACACAGGUCUCUGCUAAACCGUAAGGUGAUGUAUAGGGGCUGACGCCUGCCCGGUGCUGGAAGGUUAAGAGGAGUGGUUAGCUUCUGCGAAGCUACGAAUCGAAGCCCCAGUAAACGGCGGCCGUAACUAUAACGGUCCUAAGGUAGCGAAAUUCCUUGUCGGGUAAGUUCCGACCCGCACGAAAGGCGUAACGAUUUGGGCACUGUCUCAACGAGAGACUCGGUGAAAUCAUAGUACCUGUGAAGAUGCAGGUUACCCGCGACAGGACGGAAAGACCCCGUGGAGCUUUACUGUAGCCUGAUAUUGAAAUUCGGCACAGCUUGUACAGGAUAGGUAGGAGCCUUUGAAACGUGAGCGCUAGCUUACGUGGAGGCGCUGGUGGGAUACUACCCUAGCUGUGUUGGCUUUCUAACCCGCACCACUUAUCGUGGUGGGAGACAGUGUCAGGCGGGCAGUUUGACUGGGGCGGUCGCCUCCUAAAAGGUAACGGAGGCGCUCAAAGGUUCCCUCAGAAUGGUUGGAAAUCAUUCAUAGAGUGUAAAGGCAUAAGGGAGCUUGACUGCGAGACCUACAAGUCGAGCAGGGUCGAAAGACGGACUUAGUGAUCCGGUGGUUCCGCAUGGAAGGGCCAUCGCUCAACGGAUAAAAGCUACCCCGGGGAUAACAGGCUUAUCUCCCCCAAGAGUUCACAUCGACGGGGAGGUUUGGCACCUCGAUGUCGGCUCAUCGCAUCCUGGGGCUGUAGUCGGUCCCAAGGGUUGGGCUGUUCGCCCAUUAAAGCGGUACGCGAGCUGGGUUCAGAACGUCGUGAGACAGUUCGGUCCCUAUCCGUCGUGGGCGUAGGAAAUUUGAGAGGAGCUGUCCUUAGUACGAGAGGACCGGGAUGGACAUACCUCUGGUGUACCAGUUGUCGUGCCAACGGCAUAGCUGGGUAGCUAUGUGUGGACGGGAUAAGUGCUGAAAGCAUCUAAGCAUGAAGCCCCCCUCAAGAUGAGAUUUCCCAACUUCGGUUAUAAGAUCCCUCAAAGAUGAUGAGGUUAAUAGGUUCGAGGUGGAAGCAUGGUGACAUGUGGAGCUGACGAAUACUAAUCGAUCGAAGACUUAAUCAA
RNAcentral lists this ribosomal RNA (2921 nucleotides) under Staphylococcus aureus. RNAcentral's name for it is "23S ribosomal RNA". It matches the Rfam family "Bacterial large subunit ribosomal RNA". Lineage: Bacteria; Bacillati; Bacillota; Bacilli; Caryophanales; Staphylococcaceae. The record is from RNAcentral.